This 30-nucleotide non-coding RNA is filed under the name Homo sapiens (human). The record is from RNAcentral. Lineage: Eukaryota; Metazoa; Chordata; Mammalia; Primates; Hominidae.
UCUUGAAGUGCCAGGAUUACAGAAGUGAGC